AUGCCGCGUGCAGGANGACUGCCCUAUGGGUUGUAAACUGCUUUUAUACGGGAAGAAACCUAGUCACGUGUGACUAGCUGACGGUACCGUAAGAAUAAGGAUCGGCUAACUCCGUGCCAGCAGCCGCGGUAAUACGGAGGAUCCAAGCGUUAUCCGGAAUCAUUGGGUUUAAAGGGUCCGUAGGUGGAUAAUUAAGUCAGGGGUGAAAGUCUGCAGCUCAACUGUAGAAUUGCCCUUGAUACUGGUUGUCUUGAAUUAUUGUGAAGUGGUUAGAAUAUGUAGUGUAGCGGUGAAAUGCAUAGAUAUUACAUAGAAUACCAAUUGCGAAGGCAGAUCACUAACAAUAUAUUGACACUGAUGGACGAAAGCGUGGGGAGCGAACAGGAUUAGAUACCCUGGUAGUCCACUGCUGCCUCCCGUAGGA
Molecule: ribosomal RNA, 424 nt
Filed under: Winogradskyella sp. Asnod2G08
Lineage: Bacteria; Pseudomonadati; Bacteroidota; Flavobacteriia; Flavobacteriales; Flavobacteriaceae
Description: bacterial SSU rRNA
Rfam family: Bacterial small subunit ribosomal RNA
Source: RNAcentral